This is a long non-coding RNA of Antechinus flavipes (yellow-footed antechinus), 1824 nucleotides long. RefSeq lists it as uncharacterized. The transcript is spliced from 2 exons. NCBI's taxonomy places the organism in Eukaryota, Metazoa, Chordata, Mammalia, Dasyuromorphia, Dasyuridae. The record is from RefSeq and is a predicted model, not a curated record.
GACAAAUAGGAGACAAACAAGCUUGCCUUGAUUGUUACAGGGCAAAAGGGUAUUCUCCCUCUGGAGAGAUCGCUGGAUGAAGAAUGAUGAUGCUUGGGAGCAUAUCUGCAAGUCCUCCUGGAAUUUCACUGCAUCAAAAUCUUUGGAAGGGGCCAAACAGAUCUAAGUUGAAUUACAAUACCAGUGGACACUAAGGAGUCGAUACUAUGUUUGGCUCUAACUGGCAGGGACCACCUGCAAUCCAGUGCACAAUUGGCAGGUCACCAUUAGACUGCAGUCUGUCCUACUGCUUCCUGCCCAGAAACAAUGUCCUAGUCCGCUUUAAGUCAGCAACACGCUCCGGCGAUCAGUUAUCACGUGGUUGUCAGAAAGUGACAGAACGUAGCCGCUCUAGCUUUUCUUAUUGAAAUUUCCGUUCAAGAAACCAAGAGAGCCAAGGAAAAACAGAAUCACUAACAGCUACAGCAACAAUAACAAACGCCCUCAAUCCCUCCCAAAAGCACAGGUUUCACCGUCCGCUAGGCUGCCUCAUCAGGAAUUCAGAAUUUCGUUUUAGAAGUGCUUCUCUCACACAAUUGAUCCAACCAGUUUGGAGAGGAUACUAGUCUCCAGCGGGUUUUUUUUUUUUUUUUUUAAUCUUUUGGGAACAGUAGGGGAAGGUUUGUAGUGGACCCGUUCUUUAAAAGUGGAGAAAAGUUCCAGUUUCGCGGCAUAACUACCUUCCCAUGGCCCCUUCCCCAUCCGAGCCUCAGAACAAUGGCGUUAAUGUUAGGCAGCGUGGGUGGUGGCAGCAAACGAGAGUGAGCAAGCAUUCAUUACUCACCCAGGAUGCCAGCUGCCCGGCUGCUGUUACUAAGACACGUCCACGCGAGGUACCAAGCGGGGCCAGGCUAUCCUCAGGAAGUGCAGUAGAAUUCAGGAGCUGACCUCACCGGGACUGACUGAAGAGGGAAUCACAGACUGAAGAGAUAAAGAAGAAAGGAGCAAGCAAAGCAAAGAAGGAGGAAAAAAAAAAAAAACCGCUUCAGCUAGGCACCGCGUCUAAAGAAGCCACGCCCAAAGCUGGACCAGCAAGAUCCACUCCCAGCGCCCAGUCCUCAUCUACUUGCACGUGGCCAGAGAUAACAAAGCCAAUAGAAAAAAAAGAGGGCUUUGCUCAUCGCUCUCGAUGUGGAUGGAGGCAAGAUUUUCUCUUUGGUUUAGCCCGCCCCAGGAGGCUCGAUCUUCUGGAUCAAUUAUUUAUUUGCACUUUCAUAGGAAGGCUGACUUGAACUGCUAGUAGAGCUGUGACGUCUCCUGAUGCGGCGACACAGUGCUUGCUAGCAGCAGGGGGUGAGGGGUGGGGGGAGUUUUCUUUGUUUGCUCACUUUAAUUUCCAUCCGAGCUUUUUACACUGUGUUCUCCUCUAACCGGACAAUUUCCCCAAGGCGAUAAUGGUUAGCCUUAUCCUACUGUCCCACAGACCAAGGAUUUCUACGAAGUCACUUAGAAGUAAGGAAUGAAAAAAAUCAAGAAUAUAUCCAUAAAGGAAAUCAUUUCCCGUUGGGUGUGCCCUUUUACAUUUCUUUGUCUCCUCGUUUCUUAAAUGCCCCCCGUAUCCCCCCCCCCCCUAACUCCCCGCCUCUGCCCCACCCUUCUCUUCUGACGCUAGGGACAGCAGCUUAGAAAGGCAUCUUUUUCAAGAUCUAUAGCUUGAUUUUAAUAUUGGAAAGAAGGAUAAAAAAAAAUUACACAUCAAGCUAAGAAAAAAAGGGGGGGGUUAAGACAGCACAGGACCUUUUCUUUGAGUAUUGAUAAAAAUAAAUGUAGUUACAAAACAAUUUA